CCUACGGGAGGCAGCAGUGAGGAAUAUUGGUCAAUGGACGAGAGUCUGAACCAGCCAAGUAGCGUGAAGGAUGACUGCCCUAUGGGUUGUAAACUUCUUUUAUAUGGGAAUAAAACGUUCCACGUGUGGGAUUUUGUAUGUACCAUAUGAAUAAGGAUCGGCUAACUCCGGGCCAGCAGCCGCGGUAAUACGGAGGAUGCGAGCGUUAUCCGGAUUUAUUGGGUUUAAAGGGUGCGUAGGCGGUCUUGUAAGUCAGCGGUAAAAAUUCGGGGCUCAACCGUAAAAUUGCAGUUGAAACUGGCAGUCUUGAGUACAGUAGAGGUGGGCGGAAUGCGUGGUGUAGCGGUGAAAUGCUUAGAUAUCACGAAGAACUCCGAUUGCGAAGGCAGUUCACUGGACUGCAACUGACACUGAGGCUCGAAAGUGUGGGUAUCAAACAGGAUUAGAUACCCUUGUAGUC
This 460-nucleotide ribosomal RNA is filed under the name uncultured bacterium. RNAcentral's name for it is "partial 16S ribosomal RNA". It matches the Rfam family "Bacterial small subunit ribosomal RNA", at positions 338 to 795 of the family's 1533-position model. The record is from RNAcentral.